Molecule: ribosomal RNA, 380 nt
Filed under: uncultured bacterium
Lineage: Bacteria
Description: bacterial SSU rRNA
Rfam family: Bacterial small subunit ribosomal RNA
Source: RNAcentral
UAAUACGUAGGGUGCAAGCGUUGUCCGGAAUUAUUGGGCGUAAAGAGCUCGUAGGCGGUUUGUCGCGUCUGCUGUGAAAUCCCGAGGCUCAACCUCGGGCUUGCAGUGGGUACGGGCAGACUAGAGUGCGGUAGGGGAGAUUGGAAUUCCUGGUGUAGCGGUGGAAUGCGCAGAUAUCAGGAGGAACACCGAUGGCGAAGGCAGAUCUCUGGGCCGUAACUGACGCUGAGGAGCGAAAGCGUGGGGAGCGAACAGGAUUAGAUACCCUGGUAGUCCACGCCGUAAACGUUGGGCGCUAGAUGUAGGGACCUUUCCACGGUUUCUGUGUCGUAGCUAACGCAUUAAGCGCCCCGCCUGGGGAGUACGGCCGCAAGGCUAAA